AAGGCUUUAAGUUAACUAAACUCAUAGCCUUCAAAGCUGUAAAUAAAAUACUUAUAUUUUAAGCCUUA
This 68-nucleotide transfer RNA is filed under the name Rhabdiopteryx christinae. RNAcentral describes it as "tRNA-Trp". Lineage: Eukaryota; Metazoa; Arthropoda; Insecta; Plecoptera; Taeniopterygidae. The record is from RNAcentral.